Molecule: transfer RNA, 72 nt
Filed under: Dipodomys ordii (Ord's kangaroo rat)
Lineage: Eukaryota; Metazoa; Chordata; Mammalia; Rodentia; Heteromyidae
Rfam family: tRNA
About the family: Transfer RNA (tRNA) molecules are approximately 80 nucleotides in length. Their secondary structure includes four short double-helical elements and three loops (D, anti-codon, and T loops). Further hydrogen bonds mediate the characteristic L-shaped molecular structure. tRNAs have two regions of fundamental functional importance: the anti-codon, which is responsible for specific mRNA codon recognition, and the 3' end, to which the tRNAs corresponding amino acid is attached (by aminoacyl-tRNA synthetases). tRNAs cope with the degeneracy of the genetic code in two manners: having more than one tRNA (with a specific anti-codon) for a particular amino acid; and 'wobble' base-pairing, i.e. permitting non-standard base-pairing at the 3rd anti-codon position.
Source: Rfam by way of RNAcentral
AGGCAUGUAGCUCAGUGGUAGAGCACUUGCCUGGCAUAUGCAAAACUCUGGGAUUGAACCCCAGCAUGGCAG